RNAcentral lists this ribosomal RNA (930 nucleotides) under Paracamarosporium leucadendri. Its description in RNAcentral is "eukaryotic LSU rRNA". It matches the Rfam family "Eukaryotic large subunit ribosomal RNA", at positions 1 to 945 of the family's 3401-position model. The record is from RNAcentral. Lineage: Eukaryota; Fungi; Ascomycota; Dothideomycetes; Pleosporales; Didymosphaeriaceae.
UUUGACCUCGGAUCAGGUAGGGAUACCCGCUGAACUUAAGCAUAUCAAUAAGCGGAGGAAAAGAAACCAACAGGGAUUGCCCUAGUAACGGCGAGUGAAGCGGCAACAGCUCAAAUUUGAAAUCUGGCUCUCUUUGGGGGUCCGAGUUGUAAUUUGCAGAGGAUGCUUUGGCAUUGGCGGCGGUCUAAGUUCCUUGGAACAGGACAUCGCAGAGGGUGAGAAUCCCGUACGUGGGCGCCUGCCUUUGCCGUGUAAAGCUCCUUCGACGAGUCGAGUUGUUUGGGAAUGCAGCUCUAAAUGGGAGGUAAAUUUCUUCUAAAGCUAAAUACCGGCCAGAGACCGAUAGCGCACAAGUAGAGUGAUCGAAAGAUGAAAAGUACUUUGGAAAGAGAGUCAAAAAGCACGUGAAAUUGUUGAAAGGGAAGCGCUUGCAGCCAGACUUGCCCGCAGUUGCUCACCUAGGCUUUGGCCUGGGGCACUCUUCUGCGGGCAGGCCAGCAUCAGUUUGGGCGGUUGGAUAAAGGCCUCUGUCACGUAUCUUCCUUCGGGAUGACCUUAUAGGGGAGGCGUAAUGCAACCAGCCCGGACUGAGGUCCGCGCAUCUGCUAGGAUGCUGGCGUAAUGGCUGUAAGCGGCCCGUCUUGAAACACGGACCAAGGAGUCUAACAUCUAUGCGAGUGUUUGGGUGUCAAGCCCGGGCGCGCAAUGAAAGUGAACGGAGGUGGGAACCCUUUUGGGUGCACCAUCGACCGAUCCUGAUGUCUUCGGAUGGAUUUGAGUAAGAGCAUAGCUGUUGGGACCCGAAAGAUGGUGAACUAUGCUUGAAUAUGGUGAAGCCAGAGGAAACUCUGGUGGAGGCUCGCAGCGGUUCUGACGUGCAAAUCGAUCGUCAAAUUUGGGCAUAGGGGCGAAAGACUAAUCGAACCAUCU